CUCCGCGGCCAGGGACCCACCGAGGCCCGGGGCCGGACUGCGGCGGCCACGCUUUAAGCCAGGUCGCGCGGUCUUCCCUUGCACCACUGCCCGCCUGGCCCAGAGCUGGACUGGAGGCAGCGGCCGCCGGGUCCCGGGCGGGGUGUCUCAAAAGACAAGUAGAACCAGGGCAAGGCUCGGCCCAUGCUGUUGGGGGACAGCUUGAAGACCUCUUCAGGGGUCUGGGGAAGCGCCUUGGGCGAGGGAAGCCCACUGCAGCACCCUUCUCAAGUACUGCGGAGAGGGCCGGAACUCGCCAAGGAUGAGGAUAAGUGAGGGUUGCUGAAUGACCAUCUGGUGGGCUGAGUGGUUCCUUAAAUAAUCUCGGAAAUGAUGGUGCACCUGAAUUACUCACACUACCGCUCCUGUCACUCAACUGGCAGUACAGUUUCUUAAAAAAUUCCUUACUUGUGUUUGAAGCCUGACCAACUUCCCAGCAAGACAGUGAGCUCCUUGAGGACAAGAAUCGUGUCUCCUGCCAGCCUUAGACGCAACAACCCACAGAGUAUUAUGAAUCUCAACACUUCCUACUCUGAAGCCUGUCAUAACCUCUGGGACUUGGUCAGGUCCCCCUGAACAUGUACCAUACGCCUUCUUUGUCAGAUUAAAUGUGGUCUAACGUGGCAGUGUAGCUUGA
Suricata suricatta (meerkat) is the source of this 676-nucleotide long non-coding RNA. RefSeq lists it as uncharacterized. The record is from RefSeq and is a predicted model, not a curated record. The transcript has 4 exons. Lineage: Eukaryota; Metazoa; Chordata; Mammalia; Carnivora; Herpestidae.